AUACAUGCAAGUCGAACGAUAGAUACCAGCUUGCUGGUAUCAAAAGUGGCGCACGGGUGCGUAACGCGUAUGCAACCUGCCUCAAUCAGGGGGAUAGCCCGAAGAAAUUCGGAUUAACACCGCAUAAAAACACAGUACAGCAUUGUACAAUGUUCAAAUAUUUAUAGGAUUGAGAUGGGCAUGCGUGUCAUUAGCUAGUUGGCGGGGUAACGGCCCACCAAGGCGACGAUGACUAGGGGAUCUGAGAGGAUGACCCCCCACACUGGUACUGAGACACGGACCAGACUCCUACGGGAGGCAGCAGUAAGGAAUAUUGGUCAAUGGAGGCAACUCUGAACCAGCCAUGCCGCGUGCAGGAAGACAGCCCUCUGGGUCGUAAACUGCUUUUAUUCGGGAAUAAACCUUAUUACGUGUAAUAAGCUGAAUGUACCGAARGAAUAAGGAUCGGCUAACUCCGUGCCAGCAGCCGCGGUAAUACGGAGGAUCCAAGCGUUAUCCGGAUUUAUUGGGUUUAAAGGGUGCGUAGGCGGCUUAUUAAGUCAGGGGUGAAAGACGGUGGCUCAACCAUCGCAGUGCCCUUGAUACUGAUGAGCUUGAAUGAACUAGAGGUAGGCGGAAUGUGACAAGUAGCGGUGAAAUGCAUAGAUAUGUCACAGAACACCGAUUGCGAAGGCAGCUUACUAUGGUUUUAUUGACGCUGAGGCACGAAAGCGUGGGGAUCAAACAGGAUUAGAUACCCUGGUAGUCCACGCCCUAAACGAUGAAUACUCGCUGUUAGCGAUAUACAGUUAGCGGCUAAGCGAAAGCGUUAAGUAUUCCACCUGGGGGAGUACGCCCGCAAGGGUGAAACUCAAAGGAAUUGACGGGGGCCCGCACAAGCGGAGGAGCAUGUGGUUUAAUUCGAUGAUACGCGAGGAACCUUACCCGGGCUUGAAAGUUAGUGAAUUAUCUAGAGAUAGAUAAGUGAGCAAUCACACGAAACUAGGUGCUGCAUGGCUGUCGUCAGCUCGUGCCGUGAGGUGUUGGGUUAAGUCCCGCAACGAGCGCAACCCCUAUGUUUAGUUGCCAGCACGUCAAGGUGGGGACUCUAAACAGACUGCCUGUGCAAACAGAGAGGAAGGAGGGGACGACGUCAAGUCAUCAUGGCCCUUACGUCCGGGGCUACACACGUGCUACAAUGGAUGGUACAGAGGGCAGCAAGCUGGCAACAGCAAGCAAAUCUCAAAAAGCCAUUCACAGUUCGGAUAGAGGUCUGCAACUCGACCUCUUGAAGUUGGAUUCGCUAGUAAUCGCGUAUCAGCAAUGACGCGGUGAAUACGUUCCCGGGCCUUGUACACACCGCCCGUCAAGCCAUGGAAGUUGGGGGUACCUAAAGUAUGUAACCGCAAGGAG
This 1392-nucleotide ribosomal RNA is filed under the name Pedobacter sp. AR-138. RNAcentral describes it as "16S ribosomal RNA". It matches the Rfam family "Bacterial small subunit ribosomal RNA". Lineage: Bacteria; Pseudomonadati; Bacteroidota; Sphingobacteriia; Sphingobacteriales; Sphingobacteriaceae. The record is from RNAcentral.